UCCUGGCUGGCCUCGAGCAGCAGCUCCUCCAGAUCCCGCUCGUCCCGGCAGCAGCUCAGCUCUGAAACAACAGCGACCAUUUGGGAUCACCGGGAUCCACCCGCGUCCCCUUGGGGACAUUCGGGAUCCGGUCCCACGUGUGACCCCUUUGGGGACAUUCAAGAUCCUCUCCCAUCCAUGUCCCUGUGGGAACAUUUGGGAUCUGGUCCCAUCUCCGUUCCACUGGGAAUGUUUGGGAUCCGGUCCCAUCCUUGCCCCAUUUGGGAUCCGGUCCCAUCCUUCCCCCUUUGGGAUCCGGUCCCAUCCGUGCACCAUUUGGGAUCCGGUCCCAUCCUUCCCCCUUUGGGAUCUGGUCCCAUCCUUCCCCCUUUGGGAUCUGGUCCCAUCCGUGCCCCAUUUGGGAUCUGGUCCCAUCCUUGCUCCUUUGGGAUCUGGUCCCAUCCUUGCCCCAUUUGGGAUCCGGUCCCAUCCUUCCCCCAUUUGGGAUCCGGUCCCAUCCUUCCCCCUUUGGGAUCCGGUCCCAUCCGUGCCCCAUUUGGGAUCUGGUCCCAUCCUUGCUCCUUUGGGAUCUGGUCCCAUCCUUGCCCCCACUUGGGAUCCGGUCCCAUCCUUGCCCCCACUUGGGAUCCGGUCCCAUCCGUGCCCCCUUUGGGAUCCAGUCCCAUCCUUGCCCCCAUUUGGGAUCCGGUCCCACUGGUGACCCCUCAGGGACAUAUGGGACCAGUCCCACCUCUGCCCCCACGGGGACAUUUAGGAUCCAGCCCUACCCCUGUCCCCUCGGUCCCCCACCCCGUACCGUGCUCAGCGCCGCAGCUCCCCGCUUUGCCGUCACCGUCGGGCAGCACCCGGCCCAGCUCCGCCUUCAGCCCGUUGGGCAGCGCCGGGCCACCAGCGCCCAUCCUGGUGGUGGCCGUCCCGGUGCUGGUGGCCAUCCCAUCGGCGGCCAUUCCACCGGUGGCCGUCCCACUGGUGCUGACCAUCCCGCUGGUGACUGUCCCAGGGUUGGUGGCCGUCCCAAUGGUGGUGGUUGUCCCAGUGGUGGCCAUGCCACUGGUGGCUGUCCCAGGGUUGGUGGCCAUCCCAUCGGUGGCCGUCCCAAUGGUGGUGGUUGUCCCAGUGGUGGCCAUUCCACCGGUGGCCGUCCCAGUGGCGACUGUCCCAGGGUUGGUGGCCGUCCCAUUGGUGGCCAUCCCAAUGGUGGCCAUCCCAUUGGUGGCCAUCCCAGUGGUGGCUGUCCCAUUGGUGGCUGUCCCAGGGUUGGUGGCCAUCCCAGUGGUGGUGCUUGUCCCGCUGGUGGCCAUCCCACUGGGGGCCUCCCUGGUGGCGGUGGCUGUCCCCUCGGUGGCUGUCCCAUUGGUGGCCAUCACCCCAAUGGUGACAGUCCCACUGGUGGCCAUCCCGGGGGUGGUGGCCAUCCCGCUGGUGGCAGCUGUCCCAUUGGUGGCCGUCCCACUGAUGGCGACUGUCCCAUCAGCGGCCAUCCCAGUGGUGGUGGCGGUGGUGGUGGUGGUCCCACUGGUGGCCAUCGUCCCAGUGGUGACAGUCCCACUGGUGGCUGUGUCACUGGUGGUGACCACGCCGGUGGUGGUGGCCGUCCCAUCAGUGGCCGUCCCAGCGGCGGUGGCCGUCCCCGUGGCAGUGCCCGUCCCAUUGGUGGAGGUGGUCCCCGUGGUGGUGGCUGACCCCUUGGUGGCCGUCCCGGUGACGAUGCCCAUCCCAUUGGUGGAGGAGGUCCCGGCGGCGCCAUCCGUCCCAGCGCUGUCCGUCCUGGCGCUGUCCGUCCCGGCGCUGUCCGUCCCCUCGGCCCCAGCUGACACCGGCGUCUCACCGGGGACGCCCUCCGCUCCGCUCUCCACGCGCGUCACCACAAAGACCUUGUGUCCCCUCCCGGGGCUGGUGACCAGGAUGCGGCGCUGCUGACCUCGGGGGGACGCGGGGUUCUCCGUGCCACCACCACCGUCCCCCUCCGUGCCCGCGGCGUCGCCGUCCCCUCGUCCCCCGGCUCCCCCCGAGCCCUCGUCCUCCGUGUCCGAGCUGGAAUCGGCUCCGGCGCCGCUCUCCGCCUCAUCCCCGCCGC
Long non-coding RNA from Numida meleagris (helmeted guineafowl), 2077 nucleotides. The record is from Ensembl. Lineage: Eukaryota; Metazoa; Chordata; Aves; Galliformes; Numididae.